UCUGGAAAGGCGCGCGAUACAGGGUGACAGCCCCGUACACAAAAAUGCACAUGCUGUGAGCUCGAUGAGUAGGGCGGGACACGUGGUAUCCUGUCUGAAUAUGGGGGGACCAUCCUCCAAGGCUAAAUACUCCUGACUGACCGAUAGUGAACCAGUACCGUGAGGGAAAGGCGAAAAGAACCCCGGCGAGGGGAGUGAAAAAGAACCUGAAACCGUGUACGUACAAGCAGUGGGAGCACGCUUAGGCGUGUGACUGCGUACCUUUUGUAUAAUGGGUCAGCGACUUAUAUUCUGUAGCAAGGUUAACCGAAUAGGGGAGCCGAAGGGAAACCGAGUCUUAACUGGGCGUUAAGUUGCAGGGUAUAGACCCGAAACCCGGUGAUCUAGCCAUGGGCAGGUUGAAGGUUGGGUAACACUAACUGGAGGACCGAACCGACUAAUGUUGAAAAAUUAGCGGAUGACUUGUGGCUGGGGGUGAAAGGCCAAUCAAACCGGGAGAUAGCUGGUUCUCCCCGAAAGCUAUUUAGGUAGCGCCUCGUGAAUUCAUCUCCGGGGGUAGAGCACUGUUUCGGCAAGGGGGUCAUCCCGACUUACCAACCCGAUGCAAACUGCGAAUACCGGAGAAUGUUAUCACGGGAGACACACGGCGGGUGCUAACGUCCGUCGUGAAGAGGGAAACAACCCAGACCGCCAGCUAAGGUCCCAAAGUCAUGGUUAAGUGGGAAACGAUGUGGGAAGGCCCAGACAGCCAGGAUGUUGGCUUAGAAGCAGCCAUCAUUUAAAGAAAGCGUAAUAGCUCACUGGUCGAGUCGGCCUGCGCGGAAGAUGUAACGGGGCUAAACCAUGCACCGAAGCUGCGGCAGCGACGCUGAUGCGUUGUUGGG
Molecule: ribosomal RNA, 884 nt
Filed under: Escherichia coli
Lineage: Bacteria; Pseudomonadati; Pseudomonadota; Gammaproteobacteria; Enterobacterales; Enterobacteriaceae
Description: partial 23S ribosomal RNA
Rfam family: Bacterial large subunit ribosomal RNA
Source: RNAcentral